AAGAUGGGCCCGCGUCUGAUUAGGUAGUUGGCGGGGUAACGGCCCACCAAGCCGACGAUCAGUAGCCGACCUGAGAGGGUGACCGGCCACAUUGGGACUGAGACACGGCCCAGACUCCUACGGGAGGCAGCAGUGGGGAAUAUUGCACAAUGGGCGAAAGCCUGAUGCAGCAACGCCGCGUGAAGGAAGACGGUUUUCGGAUUGUAAACUUCUAUCAAUAGGGAAGAAAGAAAUGACGGUACCUAAAUAAGAAGCCCCGGCUAACUACGUGCCAGCAGCCGCGGUAAUACGUAGGGGGCAAGCGUUAUCCGGAAUUACUGGGUGUAAAGGGAGAGUAGGCGGCAAGGUAAGCGAUAUGUGAAAGCCUUAAGCUUAACUUAAGGAUGGCAUAACGAACUAUCUAGCUAGAGUACAGGAGAGGAAAGCGGAAUUCCUAGUGUAGCGGUGAAAUGCGUAGAUAUUAGGAAGAACACCAGUGGCGAAGGCGGCUUUCUGGACUGAAACUGACGCUGAGGCUCGAAAGCGUGGGGAGCGAACAGGAUUAGAUACCCUGGUAGUCCACGCUGUAAACGAUGAGUGCUAGGUGUCGGGGAGGAAUUCCCGGUGCCGGAGCAAACGCAAUAAGCACUCCACCUGGGG
This 639-nucleotide ribosomal RNA is filed under the name uncultured bacterium. RNAcentral describes it as "bacterial SSU rRNA". It matches the Rfam family "Bacterial small subunit ribosomal RNA", at positions 222 to 878 of the family's 1533-position model. The record is from RNAcentral.